Molecule: long non-coding RNA, 1252 nt
Filed under: Mytilus galloprovincialis (Mediterranean mussel)
Lineage: Eukaryota; Metazoa; Mollusca; Bivalvia; Mytilida; Mytilidae
Source: RNAcentral
ACCUAAUGACAUUUGUUGGUGUCAUCAGUUAAUUCAAUGUUGCAGCUAUUUUUUUCAAUAUUUAACUCUUAUUGUGUUAUAAAAAAUAGUACCAUGUGUUCCCACUGCCAAUUGUGCUGAAGGAUAUGUGCUGUUAGAUAACCAAACCGCUAGUCGUAAUUGCUACGCUCACUCUAAACCGGAUCACCUUUACGAAACAUGGGCUAAUGCUUUGGUGAGUAUGUUUUAUGUUGUAUCAGAUUCAAUUUUCCCUUAUUCAAGUAUUGUUGAUUUUGAGUGGUUGAUAUGUUAUGAAAUAUGAAAGCAUACAUGUCUGAGAAAUUAUUCAAACGGAUCUACCUUUUUUCAUGUCUAUCAUUGUUUUUGUUAUCAAUAAAAUUGAGAAUGGAAAUAAAGAAUGGGAAACACAUAUGUGCCUUUGUCUUCUUUCACAGAGACGCUUGACAUUUUAUUUCAAUUAAUUAAUAUUUGUUUUUGUAUAUGGAUGGAAGACCACAGAAUAAUAGCAUUAUAUUAAACAUAUUUAACUCAAUUACCUCUAUUUAUAGUUGAUUGAUUGAUGUUGGUGUUUAACGCCACUUUCAGCAAUAUCUUCUGAACAUGAUAUUUUUCUGCAAAAAAGAGGUAUCAAUGUGAGGCGAAUACUUAGUGAUACCAUGAAAAUAACUAUCGUUAAGAAACGUAUCGGUCAAGAUUGAAUUAUAAAACAUAAGUAUUACUUAAUAGCGAUAGAAAUACAUGAAAAAAUAAUCCAUGUAUAUCGGGUUCUAUUUAAAAAUACAUGCAUAUUGUAUACAUUGAAGAUUAACCAAUAAUGUAUGCAUUAUCACUGCAAUGUUAAAAUAGAUGAUUCAUUAUUAUUCAUGGAAUUUCAUGGGUAUAUCAUAAGGUCGAAUUUUAAUGCUCAACAAACUGAACAUUCACAUAGGCUUGUAGUCAGGCUUUGUCGAAACCAUAAUCAAAUGUCCACAAAAUAUAAUUGUUUCCAAAGCCACAGAACUUAAAAUAACCUGACAAAAAUCGUUAGUUAUACUCAAUUGCAGUACCGAUAAGUUAAAAGCGUAAUAAGUUAUUAUAACCUUGCUUCUCCGCGGUGUAAAACAUGUAUUAUUUGUUGUAUUAUCUUUAUUUAUCUUAUAAAUGUAUAGACUUAAAUUUUAGUCGGUAUGUACCAUGACACCAGGAGCUUAUUGAUGAAGACCAAAUAGUCAAGCAGAAGCUGCGGCUGCCUUUGAACUGUUUCAAUGCAGUA